ACAGCCAGCCUGCAUGGGUCUUUGGGCAGUCGUCGUGCUCAGUGCCGCUGCUUCAGUAACUUGGCCUUUGCCCUCAGUCAGCUGAGGGAGCAUGAGGAGGCAGCAGAGAAUGACCUCCAAGCCCUGCAGGCCUUCAAAGACACUGUGAGUGGAGCUGGCUCUGCAGAGGUGUCUAUCGGAGAGCAGGGGAAGGAGGAGGAAGCCCCGGUUCCAGAUGGAGAACAGGCACACACAGUGACGAUGGGAGAAGCAUGUGACUCUCAGUCACCGGUGACAAGAUCUCUCAUUGAGAAGCCGGGGUAUCUGACUGUGCUGCCAGGGGCAAACAGGAACCUGAAUAAUACAUAUGAGCAGCCCGACCCGACCACCAUUAUUAGAACCAGGACCCAUCAAACCACCCUGUACUCACCCAGCAGAGCGAGCAUUUAUAUGAGAGCUUUAAACCGAUGACAACACAGACUAACAGUGAGACUCCAUUGUCCGAAAGCGCCGAAGAUUCACCCACUGGUGCGACAGAUAAUGAAGAGACCAUAACCCUGUUAAAGAAACGGAAGUCCUAAAUCUGCACAGUCAUGUGACUUGAUGCAAGUUAAUGUGGUUGGUUAAUUGAAAGCAUUCAUAGAAAUGACUCUAUUGGGUGUAUUUCUAUGGGUCAAAUCUGCUCUUUGCACAUUGGUAUUAAAAAUUCUAAUGCACAUGUAAGUGUUACUGUAUAACAUUGUCUGUCUCAUCUCCUGCACGUACAAGUGUUGCCAUGUCAUUGCAUUUGUCUUCCAAACACUCCCUGUGUGUAUGCUGGUCAUUGUCCCCCACACUGAAAUUGGGGAAGGGACUGUGGAUCUGUUUCCGUCCGUUAGUACGUUCAUAUGUUAGUCACAAGCGAUAUCUCAGACAGCAUUGGCCCGGUUUUGACUAAACUUUGGUGAAUGGUGCAUCUUGCCAUAGCUUUACAGCAUUUAGAAAAUUACACUGAUUGGCCAGAUGGUGGCCCUGUAACAAGAUUGAAAAUGCAAAGUUUGAAAGGUCAUGCCCCUCACCCCAUUAUACCUUAAAUCAUGAAAUAUAGUAGAUCGGUUCCUGUCUUCACAAGGAACAAAUUUGCCUCUGGACCCAUAAGUUCCGCCAUGAUGGAUUUUCCGCCAUUUUGAAUUGUGUGAAAAACACUUAACCCUACUCUUCUGAUACCGAAUGACCAAUCUGCACGAAACUUGAUAUGUGGCAUUUAUGGAAAACGAUCUCUCAACGCAAUAUUUUCCAGACUGGUAGCUAAAUCAACAUGGCCGCUAUAUUGACCAAUAAACAUUCACCUGGGUGUGUUCUGGCACAUAACUGCAUAUAAAUCAGUCAAAGACAUUCGUAUUGUAACAGAAUUUGAUAAACCCUGUCAAGACUCAACAUAUGCAAGAACAUUCAUAUCGACCUUGCUGUGGCGCUAUAACGGGCAUAUAUCUGUUGGUCUGUUUGACUUAGUGAUGAAAUUUGGCACGCAUGUUUAGGGAUAUGAGCUAACCCACACGAUAUCUCAGACACCACUGGCCCAAUUUUGACAACAUUUGGGUGAAUGAUUAGUCAUGCUAUAGAGAUCUGAAAAUGACAAAAUUAUACCUUUUGGGCCAGGGGGGCUAUAGUAAUCAACUGUACAUACGUUAGUCAUUUGUGGGGGGAUGACAUGUUUACUGUUGCCUUAUUUCAAGGUGUCUUGGUAGUCAAUAUUCUAAGAUUGUCAUAAUGUGUAUCAUUUCUUCAAUCAUGCUAAUUUAAAUCUCUGCUCUUCACUUGAAUCAUGGUUGUACAAUUUGAAAUAAAUGUCAUCUGUUUUUGAACUAUUUAACUCUGAUCCUUUGUAAAUGUAUAGUCACCACAACGCUUAAGAAAGCCAUCACCGUUGAUCAUUGCUACAAGAAAACACAAAAAAAGAACAAGCACUCAAUCUGUUUUCAAUUGGUUUUCCUAAAGGUCACACUAUGAGAAAAUAGGCCUAACCUGUAAUUAAAUAUCCACAAUUGUUACCCAGAGGAGGGCCAUUUUUUUUCAAUUUCAGUCAGGGAGAGGGUUUAGUCUUUUAUUCAUUUUUAUAUAUUUGUUAUUUAGUCCAG
Molecule: long non-coding RNA, 2096 nt
Filed under: Oncorhynchus kisutch (coho salmon)
Lineage: Eukaryota; Metazoa; Chordata; Actinopteri; Salmoniformes; Salmonidae
Description: lncRNA (ENSOKIG00005015466.1)
Source: RNAcentral